UACAGUUUUUCCAUAUUCUUU
This 21-nucleotide non-coding RNA is filed under the name Caenorhabditis elegans. Lineage: Eukaryota; Metazoa; Nematoda; Chromadorea; Rhabditida; Rhabditidae. The record is from RNAcentral.